CCAGUGGUGGCCAAACCAGA
This 20-nucleotide non-coding RNA is filed under the name Rattus norvegicus (Norway rat). Lineage: Eukaryota; Metazoa; Chordata; Mammalia; Rodentia; Muridae. The record is from RNAcentral.